AGCGAACGCUGGCGGCAGGCUUAACACAUGCAAGUCGAGCGGGCGUAGCAAUACGUCAGCGGCAGACGGGUGAGUAACGCGUGGGAACAUACCUUUUGGUUCGGAACAACACAGGGAAACUUGUGCUAAUACCGGAUAAGCCCUUACGGGGAAAGAUUUAUCGCCGAAAGAUUGGCCCGCGCCUGAUUAGCUUGUUGGUGAGGUAACGGCUCACCAAGGCGACGAUCAGUAGCNGGUCUGAGAGGAUGAUCAGCCACAUUGGGACUGAGACACGGCCCAAACUCCUACGGGAGGCAGCAGUGGGGAAUAUUGGACAAUGGGCGCAAGCCUGAUCCAGCCAUGCCGCGUGAGUGAUGAAGGCCCUAGGGUUGUAAACCUCUUUCAGCAGGGACGAAGCCCUUUGGGUGACGGUACCUGCAGAAGAAGCCCCGGCCAACUACGUGCCAGCCGCCGCGGUAAC
RNAcentral lists this ribosomal RNA (460 nucleotides) under uncultured bacterium. Its description in RNAcentral is "bacterial SSU rRNA". It matches the Rfam family "Bacterial small subunit ribosomal RNA", at positions 29 to 524 of the family's 1533-position model. The record is from RNAcentral.